RNAcentral lists this ribosomal RNA (783 nucleotides) under Bacillus altitudinis. RNAcentral describes it as "bacterial SSU rRNA". It matches the Rfam family "Bacterial small subunit ribosomal RNA", at positions 58 to 823 of the family's 1533-position model. The record is from RNAcentral. Lineage: Bacteria; Bacillati; Bacillota; Bacilli; Caryophanales; Bacillaceae.
CAAGUCGAGCGGAACGUAAGGGAGCUUGCUCCCGGAUGUUAGCGGCGGACGGGUGAGUAACACGUGGGUAACCUGCCUGUAAGACUGGGAUAACUCCGGGAAACCGGAGCUAAUACCGGAUAGUUCCUUGAACCGCAUGGUUCAAGGAUGAAAGACGGUUUCGGCUGUCACUUACAGAUGGACCCGCGGCGCAUUAGCUAGUUGGUGAGGUAACGGCUCACCAAGGCGACGAUGCGUAGCCGACCUGAGAGGGUGAUCGGCCACACUGGGACUGAGACACGGCCCAGACUCCUACGGGAGGCAGCAGUAGGGAAUCUUCCGCAAUGGACGAAAGUCUGACGGAGCAACGCCGCGUGAGUGAUGAAGGUUUUCGGAUCGUAAAGCUCUGUUGUUAGGGAAGAACAAGUGCAAGAGUAACUGCUUGCACCUUGACGGUACCUAACCAGAAAGCCACGGGUAAAUACGUGCCCGCAGCCGCGGUAAUACGUAAGUGGCAAGCGUUGUCCGGAAUUAUUGGGCGUAAAGGGCUCGCAGGCGGUUUCUUAAGUCUGAUGUGAAAGCCCCCGGCUCAACCGGGGAGGGUCAUUGGAAACUGGGAAACUUGAGUGCACAAGAAGAGAGUGGAAUUCCACGUGUAGCGGUGAAAUGCGUAAAGAUGUGGAGGAACACCAGUGGCGAAAGCGACUCUCUGGUCUGUAACUGACGCUGAGGAGCGAAAGCGUGGGGAGCGAACAGGAUUAGAUACCCUGGUAGUCCACGCCGUAAACGAUGAGUGCUAAGUGU